Culicoides brevitarsis is the source of this 344-nucleotide long non-coding RNA. RefSeq lists it as uncharacterized. NCBI's taxonomy places the organism in Eukaryota, Metazoa, Arthropoda, Insecta, Diptera, Ceratopogonidae. The record is from RefSeq and is a predicted model, not a curated record. The transcript is spliced from 2 exons.
CACAAAAACAAUGUAGCACAAAAAAACAUUGAACAGAACGAAAACAUGAUUUUUGUUCGACCAAAAAUGCCGGAAGAGCAAUCGUCAGUUGUGGCUAAACGACACGACGAAAAUUGUUUUGGAUGUCGUCUAGUGUCGGGUGGUGGUCUCUUGGGAAUCGCGGCGUAUCUUGUGCAUCAGACUCGACAAAAGGGCAAACACAACACAAGGAUAUACAAAACAUGUUUGAUCGCAAUCAGCUUCGGCUUUGCUGGGAUAGGUCUCGCAAGAAUAUUCGACACUUACCCUUUCAAAAAGACAAGUAGUAUUGAGACAAAUCAAAAAAUAUAAAUAGUUUUAAUGUA